ACUCAAAUGAAUAGACGGGGGCCCGCACAAGCGGAGGAGCAUGUGGUUUAAUUCGAUGAUACGCGAGGAACCUUACCAGGGCUUGAAAGACAGUGGACAGGCGUCGAAAGGCGUCCUUCCUUCGGGACUGCUGUCUAGGUGCUGCAUGGCUGUCGUCAGCUCGUGCCGUGAGGUGUCGGGUUAAGUCCCAUAACGAGCGCAACCCCUAUCACUAGUUGCCAACAGGUAAUGCUGGGGACUCUAGUGAAACUGCCCGCGUAAGCGGUGAGGAAGGUGGGGAUGACGUCAAGUCAGCACGGCCCUUACGUCCUGGGCUACACACGUGCUACAAUGGUAGGUACAGAGGGCAGCUACACCGCGAGGUGAUGCAAAUCUCCAAAACCUAUCUCAGUUCGGAUCGAAGUCUGCAACUCGACUUCGUGAAGCUGGAUUCGCUAGUAAUCGCGUAUCAGCAAUGACGCGGUGAAUACGUUCCCGGGCCUUGUACACACCGCCCGU
Molecule: ribosomal RNA, 498 nt
Filed under: uncultured bacterium
Lineage: Bacteria
Description: partial 16S ribosomal RNA
Rfam family: Bacterial small subunit ribosomal RNA
Source: RNAcentral